This 26-nucleotide non-coding RNA is filed under the name Rattus norvegicus (Norway rat). The record is from RNAcentral. Lineage: Eukaryota; Metazoa; Chordata; Mammalia; Rodentia; Muridae.
UGAGAAGAUCAGGGAUAGGAUGGGCU